UACGAAGGGGGCUAGCGUUGUUCGGAUUUACUGGGCGUAAAGCGCACGUAGGCGGAUCGUUAAGUCGGGGGUGAAAUCCUGGAGCUCAACUCCAGAACUGCCUUCGAUACUGGCGAUCUUGAGUCCGGAAGAGGUGAGUGGAACUCCUAGUGUAGAGGUGGAAUUCGUAGAUAUUAGGAAGAACACCAGUGGCGAAGGCGGCUCACUGGUCCGGUACUGACGCUGAGGUGCGAAAGCGCGGGGAGCAAACAGG
Molecule: ribosomal RNA, 253 nt
Filed under: uncultured bacterium
Lineage: Bacteria
Description: partial 16S ribosomal RNA
Rfam family: Bacterial small subunit ribosomal RNA
Source: RNAcentral